Molecule: long non-coding RNA, 369 nt
Organism: Drosophila ananassae
Lineage: Eukaryota; Metazoa; Arthropoda; Insecta; Diptera; Drosophilidae
Exons: 2
Source: RefSeq, a predicted model, not a curated record
CUCCGCCAUAGUUAUGUACAUAUGUACAUUCAUAUAUCAUUGCUGCCCCUUUCCCAGAAGCCCCUACACACAUCUAGUACAGAAUAUAUACAGUAUGCGUGCUUGCGAUGAAAAACAAACGCUUCACAGAUGUUUUUUCGCCAUUCCGCUGUUCUUCCUCAAGCCCAUCUGAAGUCAUCGAAUCAAGUUAAAGUGGACAAAAGUGUAUUUUUAGCCAUUGUGAUGGCCAAAUCCCAAUUAAUCAUUGUUCAGAGGAGCUAGAGAAUACUUUGACUUCAUAAAAUACAUGUUAUAAAUAUUUUUUAUAAAACAAUUUAGUGCUUAGUAAAUAAUAUUAAUCACAACAAAUAAACUAUGGGUUUAAAAAUA